This is a non-coding RNA of Heterocephalus glaber (naked mole-rat), 672 nucleotides long. Lineage: Eukaryota; Metazoa; Chordata; Mammalia; Rodentia; Bathyergidae. The record is from RefSeq and is a predicted model, not a curated record.
GGCGACAGAAUCUGAAUCCAGCCAGAUGGCCCCAGAGCCCUGUGGGCCGAGCACGUGAGCCACCCCAGGGACACUGGGAAAGGCUGCUGCCCACUGCGCAUGCGCACCAAAAACCAAAUGCCCCUGGGCCGCCAGCCUCAGCGGCUAGGGCAAUGGAGAAACGGCGGCCAGGCGGGACCCUGGAGCGGUCUGCGGUCUGUGUGGCUCUGUGUGUCUGCCCUCUGUGGAAGGGGAGGAAAGGCUCUUGUCCUGGUUCAGCCUCAGUCUGCUUACCCAACCGUUGCGGGGCCCAGUCAGAGCCGACAGGAGAGCCUUGCGCUUAGGCCGCACCGCGCUGUCGCGGCCAGUCCAGCUCCUUCCAGGCCUCGCUGCACCUGCAGGACGCCAGGCUGCCCACCGCCCAGGGGCCUGUCCCGAGCCCUGAGCCUCCCUCCGAGACAGUGAGCCAUCUAGAACCUGAAGACCACAUGCUUCACGGAGUCAGGACAGCUCCUGAGGACCCAUGGAGAUGACCUGCCCAGCACUCACCUGACAACAAGGAGCCACACAUAACAGUUCCUGACAGGACACCAGCUGGCGCCCCCACACCUUUAUCUGCAGAAGUUAAAAAUUCCUCCAACUUCACUGUCCUGCUGUUUGCUGUUGUCAAAAACACAACACCAUGAACUUUAA